GGGAAUGUGGCUUAGUGGUAGAGUACUUGCCUAGCAUGCAUGAAGCCCUGGGUUUGAUUCCUCAGUACCA
RNAcentral lists this transfer RNA (70 nucleotides) under Dipodomys ordii (Ord's kangaroo rat). It matches the Rfam family "tRNA". From Rfam's summary of the family: Transfer RNA (tRNA) molecules are approximately 80 nucleotides in length. Their secondary structure includes four short double-helical elements and three loops (D, anti-codon, and T loops). Lineage: Eukaryota; Metazoa; Chordata; Mammalia; Rodentia; Heteromyidae. The record is from Rfam by way of RNAcentral.